This 405-nucleotide ribosomal RNA is filed under the name uncultured bacterium. RNAcentral's name for it is "bacterial SSU rRNA". It matches the Rfam family "Bacterial small subunit ribosomal RNA", at positions 370 to 772 of the family's 1533-position model. The record is from RNAcentral.
AAUGGGCGGAAGCCUGAACCAGCCAUGCCGCGUGCAGGAAGAAUGCCCUACGGGUUGUAAACUGCUUUUCCCCGGGAAGAAUAAGGCCCCUGCGGGGGUCGAUGCCGGUACCGGGGGAAUAAGGAUCGGCUAACUCCGUGCCAGCAGCCGCGGUAAUACGGAGGAUCCGANCGUUAUCCGGAUUUACUGGGUUUAAAGGGUGCGUAGGCUGUUCGCUAAGUCAGCGGUGAAAUGGCGCGGCUCAACCGUGCAGCUGCCGUUGAAACUGGCGGGCUUGAGUGGGUUCGAGGCAGGCGGAAUGCGCGGUGUAGCGGUGAAAUGCAUAGAUAUCGCGCAGAACGCCAAUAGCGUAGGCAGCUUGCCAGGCCCCAACUGACGCUGAGGCACGAAAGCGUGGGGAUCAAA